AACGAACGCUGGCGGCAGGCCUAACACAUGCAAGUCGAACGGGUGUAGCAAUACAUCAGUGGCAGACGGGUGAGUAACGCGUGGGAAUCUCCCCAGAGGUACGGAACAACUCAGGGAAACUUGAGCUAAUACCGUAUGUGCCCGAGAGGGCAAAGAUUCAUCGCCUUUGGAUGAGCCCGCGUUGGAUUAGCUAGUUGGUGGGGUAACGGCCUACCAAGGCUACGAUCCANAGCUGAUCUGAGAGGAUGAUCAGCCACACUGGGACUGAGACACGGCCCAGACUCCUACGGGAGGCAGCAGUGGGGAAUCUUGGACAAUGGGCGCAAGCCUGAUCCAGCCAUGCCGCGUGUGUGAAGAAGGCCUGCGGGUUGUAAAGCACUUUCAGUAGGGAAGGAAAAGACCGAGUGCUAAUAUCACUCGGUC
RNAcentral lists this ribosomal RNA (423 nucleotides) under uncultured bacterium. RNAcentral describes it as "bacterial SSU rRNA". It matches the Rfam family "Bacterial small subunit ribosomal RNA", at positions 29 to 477 of the family's 1533-position model. The record is from RNAcentral.